RNAcentral lists this ribosomal RNA (508 nucleotides) under uncultured bacterium. Its description in RNAcentral is "partial 16S ribosomal RNA". It matches the Rfam family "Bacterial small subunit ribosomal RNA", at positions 29 to 523 of the family's 1533-position model. The record is from RNAcentral.
AUUGAACGCUGGCGGCAGGCCUAACACAUGCAAGUCGAGCGGCAGCGGGAAAGUAGCUUGCUACUUUUGCCGGCGAGCGGCGGACGGGUGAGUAAUGCCUGGGGAUCUGCCCAGUCGAGGGGGAUAACUACUGGAAACGGUAGCUAAUACCGCAUACGCCCUACGGGGGAAAGCAGGGGACCUUCGGGCCUUGCGCGAUUGGAUGAACCCAGGGGGGAUUAGUUAGUUGGUGAGGUAACGGCGCACCAAGGCGACGAUCCCUAGCUGGUCUGAGAGGAGGAUCAGCCACACUGGAACUGAGACACGGUCCAGACUCCUACGGGAGGCAGCAGUGGGGAAUAUUGCACAAUGGGGGAAACCCUGAUGCAGCCAUGCCGCGUGUGUGAAGAAGGCCUUCGGGUUGUAAAGCACUUUCAGCGAGGAGGAAAGGUCAGUAGCUAAUAUCUGCUGGCUGUGACGUUACUCGCAGAAGAAGCACCGGCUAACUCCGUGCCAGCAGCCGCGGUAA